Molecule: long non-coding RNA, 1301 nt
Organism: Dama dama (fallow deer)
Lineage: Eukaryota; Metazoa; Chordata; Mammalia; Artiodactyla; Cervidae
Exons: 3
Source: RefSeq, a predicted model, not a curated record
UGCAAUAAACAAGACAGAAGACAGACCUCUUUCAUAAGGACACAUUCCUGGUUCCUGAGGGUGAGGGGAGUGAAGUGGCAGUGAGGAGAGAGGGGAACUACAUAAACAAAGAAAAUACAACCUAAAGAAGAGAUCAAGUAGCAAAAUACACUGGCCCUAAUGCCUCCAGCUUCUCCAGGAUUGGAGUGAACAUCAGCUCAGGACAUUUUCAAAGCUUUUUCCUCAAUCAGCAAGCUAAAUGAUACAACCAGAGGCUCCAUGACAGUCCCAAGGCACCAUCAAAAGACCAAAAAGUGGGAGUGGCCCAGUUCCUGGCAAUCUCCACUCCUUCCUCAAGAUGCUUCCCAAUGCCCACUUGACUUCACACUUCAGGAUGUCUGGCUCUAGGCUCCAAAAUCACUGCAAAUGGUGACUGCAGCCACGAAAUAAAAAGACACUUGCUCCUUGGAAGAAAAGCUAUGACAAACGGAGACAGAGUAAUAAAAAACAGAGACAUCACUUUGCCAACAAAGGUCCAUAUAGUCAAAGCUAUGGUUUUUCCAGUAGUCAUGUACGAAUGUGAAAGUUGAACCACAAAGAAAGCUGAGUGAAGAAGAAUUGAUGCUUUCCAACUCUAGUGCUGGAGAAGAUUUUUGAGUGUCCCUUGGACUGCAAGGAGAUCAAACCAAUCAAUUCUAAAGGAAAUCAACCCUAAAUAUUCAUUGGAAGGACUGAUACUAAAGCUGAAGCUCCAAUGCUUUGGCCACCUGAUGCAAAGAGCCAAGUCACUGGAAAAAGACCCUGAUGCUGGGAAAGAUUGAGGGCAGGUGGAGAAGUGGGUAAUAGAGGAUGAGGUGGUUGGAUGGCAUCAUCGACUCAAUGGACAUGAAUUUGAGCAAACUCCAGGAGAUAGUGAAGGACAGGGAAGCCUGUUGUGCUGCAGUCUAUGGGGUUGUGAAGAGUUGGAUACAACUUAGCAACUGAACAACGACAACAAAGUUUCCUGUCACUUAAAUCUGAAAAUGUCAUGCUAAUACAAUAGCGGUACUAGAACACAUGGGAGGUUUUACAAGUCAAUCUCAGUAAAAGAGAAUGACAUAUAAUGUCACGCAGUGUGUAAGAACAGGCCAUGAGAAGAUCUCUAUUAUUAACAACUAGUUCUACCCUAUCAACUAUGAAAAUAUGGAAAUAUUCAUAAUGUUUAUGAAGAACUCUUCUAGGAUUACAGAAGUCUUGUGCUCUAACUUGGCAUUAUCAGGACAGACCCAGAGCACCAAUUCAUAAGUCAGCUUAAAAUCCAGAACGAAGUCAAAUCCCUUACU